GCGAGCCAGAGCACGAGACGCUGCCAAGGCAGAGGAAACUCCUCCCUCCAUACAGGAGUGCGACCCGGAGAUGGGUGGCCGGAGACGGCCGGCAACGGCACAGAAACGAAUCCGCACCGGGGCACUGUGAAGGCAGGGCCGGAGGUUCCCGGGAAAGGAAUGGAACGACCGCCCCGCAUGGAGCAAGGCCAAACAGAACCCCAGGUGCCUGUACCAGGUUCAGGUUGGCCGCAAAGCGAAAUAUCGUGUGAACAAAAGGAGGGUUACUACUGGCACGC
RNAcentral lists this RNase P RNA (278 nucleotides) under Cenarchaeum symbiosum A. RNAcentral's name for it is "Archaeal RNase P". It matches the Rfam family "Archaeal RNase P". Rfam says of the family: Ribonuclease P (RNase P) is a ubiquitous endoribonuclease, found in archaea, bacteria and eukarya as well as chloroplasts and mitochondria. Its best characterised activity is the generation of mature 5'-ends of tRNAs by cleaving the 5'-leader elements of precursor-tRNAs. Cellular RNase Ps are ribonucleoproteins. The record is from Rfam by way of RNAcentral. Lineage: Archaea; Thermoproteati; Nitrososphaerota; Candidatus Cenarchaeales; Candidatus Cenarchaeaceae.